ACUCUGCGCGCCCUCGGCUGCGGGGUAGCGGGCAGCCCUGCGCUGCCGGCCGCCUAGCCUGCACCCCCCGCCCUGGGAGGGAAGCCUCGCUCCAGCCGCGUCGUUUCCGCGCCGAAGUGCGAUCCGGGGCCCCGCGCUGGAGUCCCCUGCUCUCAGGCUGGUCUGGAAGGUGGUGGUGGGGUUCAGGGUCCCCGGAAAGCUGGGGUUCCAGGGUGGCAGUUGCUGGAGUACCAGGGCACCAAGUGGAGGAUGUGGUAGACAGCCUCUAAGAUGCGCCCCCUGCCAAUGAUCUCUGCCUCCAGGGAGGAGCUAGAAGGCAGAGAGAAAGCCACUCAGGACUUCCCAUCCCAGAAGAUAAAGGUGAGGAAAGCAGCAGCAGCAGCCACAGGCCAGUAUUCCAGAGCAGCUUUGGGUUCCUGUCAAGACCUGCUUUGAGAAGGAGGUGGCUGUGGGGCUGGAGGGCUGGGCCUGUUCCUGAGCUGGCUGCUGGCAGCACAGCAAUGAGGCAACAUUGAGAACUGCGACACGAGGCCCAGUCCUGCUACUAAACCAACUGUGUGGACUUGCAUAGUCACUUCACCCCUCGGGCCUCCAUUUCUCCACUUUGGAAAGCAGUGUUGGGACGAUGUUAAGGGUUUGCAACCUUCCAACAUGAAGACUUAUUUUUAAAAGCAAAACAUUUCAAAGAGUCCACAUGACAGUAGUGUUCAUUUUGGCAUCUGUUGAUUUAACAAAUACAAAAUUAGGCUGGGUGUAGUUGCUAACGCCUGUAAUUCCAGCACUUUGGGAGACCGAGGCAGGAGGAUCACCUGAAAUCAGGAGUUCGAGACCAGCCUGGCCAACAUGGUGGAACUCCAUCACUACCAAAAAUACAAAAAUUAGCUGGGCUUGGUGGCACGUGCCUGUAAUCCCAGCUACUCGGGAGGCUGAGGCAGGAGAAUCAUUUGAACCCGGGAGGCAGAGGUUGCAGUGACCUGAGAUUGCACCACUGUACUCCAGCCUGGGCAACAGGGCAAGACUCCAUUAAAAAAAAAAAUACAAAAUUAGGCAUGGUGGUGUUCGUCUGUAGUCCCAUCUAUUUGAGAGGUUAAGGCGGGAGGAUCACUUGAGCUCAGGAGUUUGAGUUUGCAGUGAGCUGUGGUCUGCCUGUGAAUAGCUGCUGCAGUACAGCUUGGGCAACAUAGUGAGAUUCCAUCUCUAGUCUUUAAAAAAAGGAAAAAUACGGCCGGGCGCGGUGGCUCACACUUGUAAUCCUAGCACUUUGGGAGGUCGAGGAGAGAGGAUCACCUGAGGUCAGGAGUUCGAGACCAGCUUGGCCAACAUGGCGAAACCCAUCUCUACUAAAAAUACAAAAAUUAGCUGGGUGUGGUGGCGCACGCCUGUAAUCCUAGCUACUCAGGAGGCUGAGGCAGGAGAAUUGCUUGAACCAGGAGGGAGAGGUUGCAGUGAGCCAAGAUCGUACCACUGCGCUCCAGCUUGGGCAACAUAGAGAGAUCCCAUCUCUAUUUUUUUAAAAAGGAAAAAUACAAGGGAUACCAGAGCACUGGGCCAGUGCUUGUUAUAAAGUCCAUCAAUGGGCCAGGCACGGAGGCUCACACCUGUAAUCCCAACACUUUGGGAAGCCGAAGUGGGUGAAUCAUGAGGUCAGGAGUUCGAGAUCAGUCUGGCCAACAUGGUGAAACCCUGUCUCUACUAAAACUUGGUAGUUUUUUGUAAAAUUAGCUGGGCGUAGUUGUGGGCGCCUGUAAUCCCAGCUACUUGGGAGGCUGAGGCAGGAGAAUCCUUUGAACCCCGGAGGCAGAGGUUUCAGUGAGCCGAGAUCACGCCACUGCACUCCAGCCUGAGUGAAGAGCGAAACUCCGUUUCAAAAAAAUAAAAUAAAAUAAAAAAUAAAAAAAUAAAGUCCAUCAAUGAUGCCAAUAUUAUGGAACAAAAUUUAAAAGCAGGGUGAUGAGUAAUGUUUGUUACUUUUUGGCUACUCAGUUUUGGAGUCCCUUCCCAGGUUUGUGGAAGAUGCCAUCUUAGGAGUCUUCGUGGAAGCUGGAGCCUGUUGCUUAGCCGUCAACAUAGAGGCUGAAAAUGCCAGAUGCUUCUCAGCCUCCUUUAGCUGCAGGGUUUAGUCAUGUGAUCUGGGCUGGGCCCAUCAGGUGCCAUGGACUGAGGAGCCUGGACCAAGCCAGAGCCCAACACAGAACCUUUUCUGGUGGAAGUGGCCAUGGCUACUGCAGCCUUGUCUAGAUUCCAGGGCAACAGCAGCAGGGUCAUGGUUCAGACCCCAGCCAUGGUUGUGGCACAGCUGCCCAGGGCUCUGAGAACAGAGCAGGACUCUCUGGAUAGCUUGUGCACCACAGUUCUGGCCAUGCUCCUGGCUGCUGUCUGGCACCGUUUGUUCUCAUUCAUGCCCUGAACCUGGCUCUUCAGCCUUCCCAGAGACUCUGUGGGCUGCCCAGCAUCCUUCCCAAAAAUCCCUCUUCUGUUUUAAAUUAUCCAGAGCCAGUUUCUGUUGCAUUUUUAAGUCAGAGUUCUGACCAAUUCACAGUCUUAUUUCAGUCUCCGCAUCCAACUUAUUUUUGUAUUUUGCUUUGGUACACACGGUUCUGAGAAAAUUCUAAUCAUACAGAUGGAUGGUUAUAAAUAAUAAUGAUAACAACUAUUACUGGCUGGGCACGGUGCCUCCUGCCUGUCAUCCCAGCACUUUGGGAGGCUAGGGCAGGAGGAUCACUUGAACCCAGGAGUUCAAGACCAGCCUGUGCAACAUAGUGAGACCCCAUCCCUACAAAAAAAAUUUAAAAAAUAGCCAGGCAUGGUGGUGCGGGUCUGUAGUUCCAGCUACUUGGGAGACUGAGGUGGGAGGAUUGCUUGAGCCCAGGAAGUUGAGACUGUAGUGAGCCAUGAUCGCACCACUGCACUCUAACCUGAGUGACAAAGCGAGACACAACAAUGACAGCCACAAAAAAACUAUUACAUAGCACUCACUAUAUGCCAGGCCCUGUCUUAACCA
Molecule: long non-coding RNA, 3001 nt
Filed under: Homo sapiens (human)
Lineage: Eukaryota; Metazoa; Chordata; Mammalia; Primates; Hominidae
Description: HSALNT0377952
Source: RNAcentral